CAGAGGUCCCAAGCGUUGUUCGGAUUCACUGGGCGUAAAGGGUGCGUAGGCGGUCGGGUAAGUCUGACGUGAAAUCUUCAAGCUCAACUUGGAAACUGCGUCGGAUACUAUUCGGCUAGAGGAACGGAGGGGAGACUGGAAUACUUGGUGUAGCAGUGAAAUGCGUAGAUAUCAAGUGGAACACCAGUGGCGAAGGCGAGUCUCUGGACAUUUCCCGACGCUGAGGCACGAAAGCCAGGGGAGCAAACGGGAUUAGAUACCCCGGUAGUCCUGGCCCUAAACGGUGCAUGUUUGCUGUAAGAGGAAUCGACCCCUUUUGUGGCGAAGCUAACGCGUUAAACGUGCCGCCUGGGAAGUACGGCCGCAAGGUUA
Molecule: ribosomal RNA, 372 nt
Filed under: uncultured organism
Description: bacterial SSU rRNA
Rfam family: Bacterial small subunit ribosomal RNA
Source: RNAcentral